This 700-nucleotide ribosomal RNA is filed under the name uncultured bacterium. RNAcentral describes it as "bacterial SSU rRNA". It matches the Rfam family "Bacterial small subunit ribosomal RNA", at positions 8 to 686 of the family's 1533-position model. The record is from RNAcentral.
AGAGUUUGAUCAUGGCUCAGAAUCAACGCUGGCGGCGUGCCUCAGACAUGCAAGUCGAACGCGAAAGCCCCCUUCGGGGGGCAAGUAGAGUGGCGCACGGGUGAGUAACACGUAGGUAAUCUACCUUUGGAUGGGGAAUAACCACCGGAAACGGUGGCUAAUACCGCAUAAUGCAGCGGCACCUAAUGGUGACAGUUGUUAAAGCGGGGGAUCGCAAGACCUCGCGUCUGAAGAGGAGCCUGCGGCGGAUUAGCUUGUUGGUAAGGUAACGGCUUACCAAGGCGAUAAUCCGUAGCCGGCCUGAGAGGGCGGUCGGCCACACUGACACUGACAUACGGGUCAGACUCCUACGGGAGGCAGCAGUCGGGAAUUUUGGGCAAUGGGCGAAAGCCUGACCCAGCAACGCCGCGUGAAGGAUGAAAUCCUUCGGGAUGUAAACUUCGCAAGAGCAGGAAGAAUAAGUAAGGGUUAAUAUCUCUUACGAUGACGGUACUGUUUGUAAGCUCCGGCUAACUCCGUGCCAGCAGCCGCGGUAAUACGGGGGGAGCAAGCGUUGUUCGGAUUUACUGGGCGUAAAGGGCGCGUAGGCGGCCACCGCAAGUCGACUGUGAAAUCUCCGGGCUUAACCCGGAAAGGUCAGCCGAUACUGCGGGGCUAGAGUGCAGAAGGGGCAACUGGAAUUCUCGGUGUAGCGGUGAAA